RNAcentral lists this ribosomal RNA (460 nucleotides) under uncultured bacterium. RNAcentral's name for it is "partial 16S ribosomal RNA". It matches the Rfam family "Bacterial small subunit ribosomal RNA", at positions 338 to 795 of the family's 1533-position model. The record is from RNAcentral.
CCUACGGGUGGCAGCAGUGAGGAAUAUUGGUCAAUGGACGAGAGUCUGAACCAGCCAAGUAGCGUGAAGGAUGACUGCCCUGUGUAUUGUAAACUUCUUUUAUCUGGGAAUAAAGUGUUCCACGUGUGGGCUUUUGUAUGUACCAUAUGAAUAAGGAUCGGCUAACUCCGUGCCAGCAGCCGCGGUAAUACGGAGGAUCCGAGCGUUAUCCGGAUUUAUUGGGUUUAAAGGGUGCGGAGGUGGAUUGUUAAGUCAGUUGUGAAAGUUUGCGGCUCAACCGUAAAAUUGCAGUUGAAACUGGCAGUCUUGAGUACAGUAGAGGUAGGCGGAAUGCGCGGUGUAGCGGUGAAAUGCUUAGAUAUCACGAAGAACUCCGAUUGCGAAGGCAGCUCACUGGACUGCAACUGACACUGAGGCUCGAAAGUGUGGGUAUCAAACAGGAUUAGAUACCCUUGUAGUC